AAAAGCCUCUCAUCUCCUCAAACUGCCCGACCUUUGGGUCAACCUAGCGCCGCCAUUGCACCACCAUGCGUGGUGGUGGGCGUUGCGCAAAGAUGGCGACCUAAUCCCUGGUCCAGGGCUCAGAUCUUUAGACCUCGCUUUCGAAGCCUCUAAAAACGAGUCCGUCGGACUCAAAAGACCGAAGAAAGAAGGGUAUUUCGUACCCCUUUUGGUUCGAUUCCAACACCGGAGAAGAUCUCCGACGACGGGCUUUCGAAACCGGUGAGUACUCUCCCCUUUUCAAUCAAUUCGUUAAAGAAAAAAAGGAAACAAAUAAGAAGGAAUACAACCAAGAACAGAAAAGGGAGAAGAACCAGGAUCCACCUUUUCCUUUUUUGAUCUCGUUUUUUUUAUUGCAAUUGACGUUCCUUUUACAAAGAUAGUGUUUUUUCUGCUUUUAUAUCACAUCUAUUUCUAUUAUUUGCUAUUAUUUGCUACUCUCUGCUUUUUCUGUCAUCUUACAGGCGUUGAUGAGGCUAGGCACGGUGGGUGGCGAUGGGACUAGGCGAACGGCAGAAGGAGGUGUGCGGCGCUAGGCUUGGCUAGGGUUUCAUUUUUCUGAAACCCUAGUUGGAUUUUG
RNAcentral lists this long non-coding RNA (619 nucleotides) under Gossypium barbadense (sea-island cotton). RNAcentral's name for it is "long non-coding RNA (GBAR_LNC009527)". Lineage: Eukaryota; Viridiplantae; Streptophyta; Magnoliopsida; Malvales; Malvaceae. The record is from RNAcentral.